GAAAUGCGAUAAGUAAUGUGAAUUGCAGAAUUCAGUGAAUCAUCGAAUCUUUGAACGCACAUUGCGCCCGCCAGCACUCUGGCGGGCAUGCCUGUUCGAGCGUCAUUUCAACCCUCAGAACCCCUUGCGGGAUCUGGCGUUGGGGAUUGGCAUCCAGCCAGCCCCGAAAUCUAGUGGCGGUCCCUCCGCGACCUCCCCUGUGCAGUAGCGAUACCUCGCAGCGGGACAGCGGUCUGACCACGCCGUAAAACCCCCAACUUCUCAAGGUUGACCUCGAAUCAGGUAGGAAUACCCGCUUAACUUGAGC
RNAcentral lists this unclassified non-coding RNA (307 nucleotides) under plant metagenome. RNAcentral describes it as "partial contains 5.8S ribosomal RNA, internal transcribed spacer 2, and large subunit ribosomal RNA". The stretch from base 1 to 105 matches the Rfam family "5.8S ribosomal RNA", at positions 50 to 154 of the family's 154-position model. The record is from RNAcentral.